GAUUUGAUAGCUCAGUAGGUAGAGCAAAGGACUGAAAAUCCUUGUGUCAGUGGUUCAAUUCCACUUCAAAUCA
Candidatus Zinderia insecticola CARI is the source of this 73-nucleotide transfer RNA. It matches the Rfam family "tRNA". Rfam says of the family: Transfer RNA (tRNA) molecules are approximately 80 nucleotides in length. Their secondary structure includes four short double-helical elements and three loops (D, anti-codon, and T loops). Lineage: Bacteria; Pseudomonadati; Pseudomonadota; Betaproteobacteria; Burkholderiales; Oxalobacteraceae. The record is from Rfam.